RNAcentral lists this ribosomal RNA (468 nucleotides) under uncultured bacterium. RNAcentral's name for it is "partial 16S ribosomal RNA". It matches the Rfam family "Bacterial small subunit ribosomal RNA", at positions 28 to 507 of the family's 1533-position model. The record is from RNAcentral.
GACGAACGCUGGCGGCGUGCUUAACACAUGCAAGUCGAACGGAAAGGCCCUGCUUUUGUGGGGUGCUCGAGUGGCGAACGGGUGAGUAACACGUGAGUAACCUGCCCUUGACUUUGGGAUAACUUCAGGAAACUGGGGCUAAUACCGGAUAGGAGCUCCUGCUGCAUGGUGGGGGUUGGAAAGUUUCGGCGGUUGGGGAUGGACUCGCGGCUUAUCAGCUUGUUGGUGGGGUAGUGGCUUACCAAGGCUUUGACGGGUAGCCGGCCUGAGAGGGGGACCGGCCACAAUGGGACUGAGAGACGGACCAGACUCCUACGGGAGGCAGCAGUGGGGAAUAUUGCACAAUGGGCGGAGGCGUGAUGCGGCAACGCCGCGUGCGGGAUGACGGCCUUCGGGUUGUAAACCGCUGUCGCCUGUGACGAAGCGGGAGUGACGGUAAUGAGUAAAGAAGCACCGGCUAACUACGUG